This 681-nucleotide ribosomal RNA is filed under the name uncultured bacterium. Its description in RNAcentral is "bacterial SSU rRNA". It matches the Rfam family "Bacterial small subunit ribosomal RNA", at positions 198 to 882 of the family's 1533-position model. The record is from RNAcentral.
UAUUGAAAGUUACGGCGGCACGGAUUGGCUCGCGUCCGAUUAGCUUGUUGGCGGGGUAACGGCCCACCAAGGCUACGAUCGGUAGGGGUUCUGAGAGGAAGGCCCCCCACAAUGGGACUGAGACACGGCCCAUACUCCUACGGGAGGCAGCAGUGAGGAAUAUUGGUCAAUGGGCGGAAGCCUGAACCAGCCAUGCCGCGUGCGGGAAGGAGGCCCUAUGGGCUGUGAACCGCUUUUGCCUGGGGGCAAUAAGGGCGUCGCGCACGUCCGAUGAGAGUACCAGGCGAAUAAGCAUCGGCUAACUCCGUGCCAGCAGCCGCGGUAAUACGGGGGAUGCGAGCGUUAUCCGGAUUCAUUGGGUUUAAAGGGUGCGUAGGCUGUGCGUCAAGUCGGGGGUGAAAUUCCGGUGCUCAACACCGGGGCUGCCCUUGAUACUGUCGCGCUGGAGUGCGGAUGCCGCCGGAGGAAUGAGUGGUGUAGCGGUGAAAUGCUUAGAUAUCACUCAGAACACCGAUUGCGAAGGCAUCUGGCGAAUCCGUAACUGACGCUGAGGCACGAAAGCGUGGGGAUAGAACAGGAUUAGAUACCCUGGUAUUCCACGCCGUAAACGAUGAUGGCUAACCGCCGGCGACACACUGUCGGUGGCCAAGCGAAAGCGAUAAGCCAUCCACCUGGGGAGUA